This 27-nucleotide small RNA is filed under the name Bombyx mori (domestic silkworm). RNAcentral describes it as "ovarian small RNA-26820". The record is from RNAcentral. Lineage: Eukaryota; Metazoa; Arthropoda; Insecta; Lepidoptera; Bombycidae.
UCCAGGAGAAAACGCUAGCUUAAUGGA